AUUCGGCAAAAUAGAUCCGUAACUUCGGGAAAAGGAUUGGCUCUGAGGACUGGGCAUGCAUCCCUCUGUCCACGACCGAUUGGACUUGACUGAGGGCCUAGCUCUAGGUCGAGAACGAGGAGUUGGUGACUCUGGGUGUGCACGCGAUCAUCAGUCAGCUCAGAACUGAAGCGGUCAAGGGGAAUCUAACUGUUUAAUAAAAACAAAGCUUUGUGAUGUCCCGAAAGGGUUUUGACACAAUGUGAUUUCUGCCCAGUGCUUUGAACGUUAACGUGAAGAAAUUCAACUAAGCGCAGGUAAACGGCAGGUGUAACUAUAACACUUUUAAGGUAGCCAAAUGCCUCGUCAUCUAAUUAGUGACGUGCAUGAAUGGAUCAAUGAGAUUCCUACUGUCCCAAAUGACCAUCUAACGAACCCACAGCCAAGGGAACGGGCUUGGCAAAAUCAGCGGGGAAAGAAGACCCUGUUGAGCUUUGAAGAAGAGUGACAUUGUGACGUGGCAAUUGGGGUAUAGUGUAGGUGGGAGGUUCGCCAACAAUGUAACACCACUACUCAUUUCGUCAUUUUACUAAUUCCGUAAAGCAGAGCUCCUCCGGGAAUUCUUGCGCUAAAGUCCGUAAGGACCGAUCUGGGCGGAAGACAGUGUCAUCCGAUUUUCUUGACUGGGGCGGUACAUCUGUUAAACGAUAACGCAGGUGUCCUAAGGCGAGCUCAAAGAGAACAGAAAUCUCUUGUAGACCAAAAGGGGAAAAGCUCGCUUGAUUUUGAUUUUCAGUACAAAUACAAACUGUGAAAGCAUGGCCUAUAGAUCCUUAGAUUUUACAAGUCUUAAAUUUGAGGUGUCAGAAAAGUUACCACAGGGAUAACUGACUUGUGGCGACCCGAGCGUACAGAGCGACGGCGCUUUUUGAUCCUUCGAUGUCGGCUCUUCUUAUCAUUGUGUUGCAGAAGGCACAACGUGUCGGAUUGUUCACCCGCUAAUAAGGAACGUGAGCUGGGUUUAGACCGUCGAGAGACAGGUUAGUUUUACCCUACUGAUGAAUUGAUGUCGCGACAGUAAGUCAA
RNAcentral lists this ribosomal RNA (1065 nucleotides) under wastewater metagenome. Its description in RNAcentral is "eukaryotic LSU rRNA". It matches the Rfam family "Eukaryotic large subunit ribosomal RNA", at positions 1912 to 3027 of the family's 3401-position model. The record is from RNAcentral.